GGUCGGUUUGGCCGGAUUUCACACAGGUGUUGCAUGGCUGUCGUCAGCUCGUGUCGUGAGAUGUUGGGUUAAGUCCCGCAACGAGCGCAACCCUCAUCCUUAGUUACCAUCAAGUUAUGCUGGGGACCUUAAGGAAACUGCCAGUGAUAAACUGGAGGAAGGUGGGGAUGAUGUUAAGUCAUCAUGGCCCUUAUGGAGGGGGCUACACACGUGCUACAACGGUGAUUACAAUGGGCUGCAAGGUCGCAAGGCUGAGCUAAUCCUAAAAAAUCAUCUCAGUUCGGAUUGUUCUCUGCAACUCGAGAGCAUAAAGUUGGAAUCGCUAGUAAUCGUGGAUCAGCAUGCCACGGUGAAUACGUUCUCGGGUCUUGUACACACUGCCCGUCACGCCAUGGUAAUUGGUUUCACUCGAAGCU
This 416-nucleotide ribosomal RNA is filed under the name Wolbachia endosymbiont of Myzus persicae. Its description in RNAcentral is "bacterial SSU rRNA". It matches the Rfam family "Bacterial small subunit ribosomal RNA", at positions 1013 to 1428 of the family's 1533-position model. The record is from RNAcentral. Lineage: Bacteria; Pseudomonadati; Pseudomonadota; Alphaproteobacteria; Rickettsiales; Anaplasmataceae.